RNAcentral lists this ribosomal RNA (124 nucleotides) under Dietzia natronolimnaea. RNAcentral's name for it is "partial 23S ribosomal RNA". The stretch from base 1 to 110 matches the Rfam family "Bacterial large subunit ribosomal RNA", at positions 2815 to 2925 of the family's 2925-position model. Lineage: Bacteria; Bacillati; Actinomycetota; Actinomycetes; Mycobacteriales; Dietziaceae. The record is from RNAcentral.
CCACCUUGCGUGGUUAAGGCCCCCCACAGACCAUGGGGUUGAUAGGCCGGAACUGGAAGCGCAGCAAUGCGUGGAGGUGACCGGUACUAAUCGGCCGAGGGCUUACACACAACCAAGCCAGAAG